AUUAAACGCUGGCGGCAUGCCUUACACAUGCAAGUCGAACGGCAGCACGGGGGCAACCCUGGUGGCGAGUGGCGGACGGGUGAGUAAUACAUCGGAACGUGCCCUGGAGUGGGGGAUAACGUAGCGAAAGUUACGCUAAUACCGCAUAUUCUGUGAGCAGGAAAGCAGGGGAUCGCAAGACCUUGCGCUCUGGGAGCGGCCGAUGUCGGAUUAGCUAGUUGGUGGGGUAAAGGCCUACCAAGGCGACGAUCCGUAGCGGGUCUGAGAGGAUGAUCCGCCACACUGGGACUGAGACACGGCCCAGACUCCUACGGGAGGCAGCAGUGGGGAAUUUUGGACAAUGGGGGNAACCCUGAUCCAGCCAUGCCGCGUGAGUG
Molecule: ribosomal RNA, 377 nt
Filed under: uncultured bacterium
Lineage: Bacteria
Description: bacterial SSU rRNA
Rfam family: Bacterial small subunit ribosomal RNA
Source: RNAcentral